CGACCGGCGCACGGGUGAGUAACGCGUAUCCAACCUGCCCACCACUUGGGAUAACCUUGCGAAAGUAAGACUAAUACCCAAUGAUAUCUCUAGAAGACAUCUGAAAGAGAUUAAAGAUUUAUCGGUGAUGGAUGGGGAUGCGUCUGAUUAGCUUGUUGGCGGGGUAACGGCCCACCAAGGCGACGAUCAGUAGGGGUUCUGAGAGGAAGGUCCCCCACAUUGGAACUGAGACACGGUCCAA
This 241-nucleotide ribosomal RNA is filed under the name uncultured bacterium. RNAcentral describes it as "partial 16S ribosomal RNA". It matches the Rfam family "Bacterial small subunit ribosomal RNA", at positions 92 to 334 of the family's 1533-position model. The record is from RNAcentral.